GCUGAUAUGGCUCAAUUGGUAGAGCGCACCCUUGGUAAGGGUGAGGUCCCCAGUUCGACUCUGGGUAUCAGCACCA
Molecule: transfer RNA, 76 nt
Filed under: Escherichia coli
Lineage: Bacteria; Pseudomonadati; Pseudomonadota; Gammaproteobacteria; Enterobacterales; Enterobacteriaceae
Also listed under: 2 other names
Description: tRNA-Thr
Rfam family: tRNA
About the family: Transfer RNA (tRNA) molecules are approximately 80 nucleotides in length. Their secondary structure includes four short double-helical elements and three loops (D, anti-codon, and T loops). Further hydrogen bonds mediate the characteristic L-shaped molecular structure. tRNAs have two regions of fundamental functional importance: the anti-codon, which is responsible for specific mRNA codon recognition, and the 3' end, to which the tRNAs corresponding amino acid is attached (by aminoacyl-tRNA synthetases). tRNAs cope with the degeneracy of the genetic code in two manners: having more than one tRNA (with a specific anti-codon) for a particular amino acid; and 'wobble' base-pairing, i.e. permitting non-standard base-pairing at the 3rd anti-codon position.
Source: RNAcentral